AUCUAAAUAGUUUAAUUAGAAUAAUAAUUUGUGGUGUUAUAGGUACAUUAAUGUUUUAGAUC
This 62-nucleotide transfer RNA is filed under the name Cletus punctiger. RNAcentral describes it as "tRNA-His". RNAcentral also lists the same sequence under 2 other names. The record is from RNAcentral. Lineage: Eukaryota; Metazoa; Arthropoda; Insecta; Hemiptera; Coreidae.